RNAcentral lists this ribosomal RNA (428 nucleotides) under uncultured Peptococcaceae bacterium. Its description in RNAcentral is "bacterial SSU rRNA". It matches the Rfam family "Bacterial small subunit ribosomal RNA", at positions 355 to 774 of the family's 1533-position model. Lineage: Bacteria; Bacillati; Bacillota; Clostridia; Eubacteriales; Peptococcaceae. The record is from RNAcentral.
UGGGGAAUCUUCCGCAAUGGACGAAAGUCUGACGGAGCAAUGCCGCGUGAGUGAUGAAGGCCUUCGGGUUGUAAAACUCUGUCCCAAUGGAAGAAAACCCAUAGUGCAAAUAGUGCUAUGGCUUGACGGUACAUUGGGAGGAAGCCCCGGCUAACUAUGUGCCAGCAGCCGCGGUAAUACAUAGGGGGCAAGCGUUGUCCGGAAUUACUGGGCGUAAAGAGCGUGUAGGCGGAUUUUUAAGUCAGUUGUGAAAACUUUGGGCUUAACCCAGAGACUGCAUCUGAUACUGGAAGUCUUGAGUGCAGGAGAGGAGAGUGGAAUUCCUAGUGUAGCGGUGAAAUGCGUAGAUAUUAGGAGGAACACCAGUGGCGAAGGCGACUCUCUGGACUGUAACUGACGCUGAGACGCGAAAGCGUGGGGAGCAAACA